RNAcentral lists this long non-coding RNA (469 nucleotides) under Naja naja (Indian cobra). RNAcentral's name for it is "lncRNA (ENSNNAG00000013845.1)". Lineage: Eukaryota; Metazoa; Chordata; Lepidosauria; Squamata; Elapidae. The record is from RNAcentral.
UCUCCGUUUCGGGGUGGCCAUCACACACACCUCCAACAUGCCUCUUACGUUCUCUUCCUCAGUUGCCUCCACCCCCGGUGCCACAAAGGAUUCGCUCCAGCCAGCGGCAGGGCGUGACUUCUCCAGGAUACGUUGGAGCCCAAGAGCAUAAUUUCAGCCCUAUCUUGCAAAGAAGACAAAGUCUGGGGUCUUCAAGCUCUAUGGUAACUCUUCGUUGGCUCUUCUGCUCUACCCCUGGAGAAAGGUCCCUCUUCUCUUGGUCAUCUUCAAGACCUGGGUCUUACCCUUAGCCCGCCACUCUUGGCACCGACAAACUCAACAGAUGUCUCUUCUUCUGCAGGAGAGCACGCUAGAUCCAGGCUACAAUACGAUGGACAAACUUGGUGGUGGAUUCAGCAGCAGGUAAGGGAGUCCGAGGGGGCCUCGGGACCAGCUCCCUUAGCUGCUGCCUAGAGGUGAAAUAAAGUUU